CAGUCGCCGCGGGAAUACGUAGGUCCCGAGCGUUGUCCGGAUUUAUUGGGCGUAAAGCGAGCGCAGGCGGUUAGAUAAGUCUGAAGUUAAAGGCUGUGGCUUAACCAUAGUACGCUUUGGAAACUGUUUAACUUGAGUGCAAGAGGGGAGAGUGGAAUUCCAUGUGUAGCGGUGAAAUGCGUAGAUAUAUGGAGGAACACCGGUGGCGAAAGCGGCUCUCUGGCUUGUAACUGACGCUGAGGCUCGAAAGCGUGGGGCGCAAACAGGAUUAGAUACCCCUGUAGUCCCUGUCUCUUAUACA
Molecule: ribosomal RNA, 301 nt
Filed under: uncultured bacterium
Lineage: Bacteria
Description: partial 16S ribosomal RNA
Rfam family: Bacterial small subunit ribosomal RNA
Source: RNAcentral